GCUGGGCAUGAUGGCUCAUGCCUGUAAUCCAAGCACUUUGGGAGGCUGAGGCGGGUGGAUCACCUGAGGUCAGGAGUUCAAGACCGGCCUGACCAACAUGGUGAAACCCCAUCUCUA
This is an unclassified non-coding RNA of Callithrix jacchus (white-tufted-ear marmoset), 117 nucleotides long. It matches the Rfam family "Metazoan signal recognition particle RNA". From Rfam's summary of the family: The signal recognition particle (SRP) is a universally conserved ribonucleoprotein. It is involved in the co-translational targeting of proteins to membranes. The record is from Ensembl. Lineage: Eukaryota; Metazoa; Chordata; Mammalia; Primates; Cebidae.